GACGAACGCUGGCGGCGUGCUUAACACAUGCAAGUCGAACGGCAAGGCCCUGCUUUUGUGGGGUGCUCGAGUGGCGAACGCGUGAGUAACACGUGAGUAACCUGCCCUACUCUUUGGGAUAACUUCAGGAAACUGGGGCUAAUCCCGGAUAGGAUCCCCCGCUGCAUGGUGGGGGUUGGAAAGUUUCGGCGGUUGGGGAUGGACUCGCGGCUUAUCAGCUUGUUGGUGGGGUAGUGGCUUACCAAGGGUUUGGCUGGUAGCCGGCCUGUGAGGGUGGCCGGCCACAUGGGGACUGAGAUACGGCCCAGACGCCUACGGGAGGCAGCAGUGGGGAAUAUUGCACAAUGGGCGGAAGCCGGAUGCAGCAACGCCGCGUGCGGGAUGACGGCCUUCGGGUUGUAAACCGCUUCCGCCUGUGACGAAGCUGGAGUGACGGUAAUGGAUAAAGAAGCACCGGCUAACUACGUG
Molecule: ribosomal RNA, 468 nt
Filed under: uncultured bacterium
Lineage: Bacteria
Description: partial 16S ribosomal RNA
Rfam family: Bacterial small subunit ribosomal RNA
Source: RNAcentral